GACUGGUCUGAAGGUAGUGAGUUAUCUCAAUUGACUGUUAGUUAUAGAUUGAACUCCUUGUUCAACUCUUUCCUCCCUUCUCGUUACUGCACUUGACCAGUCUUAA
Molecule: unclassified non-coding RNA, 106 nt
Organism: Nomascus leucogenys (northern white-cheeked gibbon)
Lineage: Eukaryota; Metazoa; Chordata; Mammalia; Primates; Hylobatidae
Rfam family: Y RNA
About the family: Y RNAs are components of the Ro ribonucleoprotein particle (Ro RNP), in association with Ro60 and La proteins. The Y RNAs and Ro60 and La proteins are well conserved, but the function of the Ro RNP is not known. In humans the RNA component can be one of four small RNAs -- hY1, hY3, hY4 and hY5.
Source: Ensembl